Molecule: small nucleolar RNA, 86 nt
Filed under: Drechmeria coniospora
Lineage: Eukaryota; Fungi; Ascomycota; Sordariomycetes; Hypocreales; Ophiocordycipitaceae
Description: A. fumigatus snoRNA Afu_264
Rfam family: A. fumigatus snoRNA Afu_264
Source: Rfam by way of RNAcentral
UACCAUGAUGAUACUAUAACUUUACUUUUUCUGGUACCUCUUAUGUUAGAGCUUUCGGGCUCGAUGAAUAAAACGGACUUCUGAUA